Non-coding RNA from Rattus norvegicus (Norway rat), 4227 nucleotides. NCBI's taxonomy places the organism in Eukaryota, Metazoa, Chordata, Mammalia, Rodentia, Muridae. The record is from RefSeq and is a predicted model, not a curated record.
CUGGUUUCUCUGGUAACAAGCAGAAUACAUUCUAGUACCACGAACACUGAUCGGUAGGAGUGACGGCUCUAAACUGGCAUCAGCUUGACUUUUCCAUUCUCAGUCCAUUGUGAUGUUAUUCCAGGAUGCAGCAGACAGCAUACCUCCAUCUCUUGGUUGAUCUUCCUGAAUGGCUGGAGUGCAAAUCUUCUCCACAGUCAGCUGGAGGCAUUUACCAGAGGGGUGAAAGAUAGAAACCAGCUCAUAGGAAAAUAUUCGACAGUGCCCUGUACAUAAUGCAUUGUUUUGGUUUUGUCUCAAGGAACAGAAGAACAGGCUCGCCUUAAACUCAAGGCAAUCUUCAUUUCUCAGCCUCUGGAAUGUUGGAGUUACAGACAAGAGCCACCACACCCAGCUAACCGGGGCACCGCUACAGAUGCUGUUAGAGUAAUUGACUUUCCCCAGACUGUUUAUUUGACGAGGACACUACACACAGUCAAGAACUGUUUCGACCUGCAUGAGCAAUCCUUCAAGAUUUGCCUACGAAGCCAAGACAAAGACUGAAGAAGGCCUGUGUGGGACUUCACACCCUAGUGACACGUUCCUGGUCAACUGAAGUCCUCGAACAGCUGAUAGUUAUAAUAUGUAGUCUUCCGUGUGUGGCCUUUCGGGAGCUGGUCUUUUCUUAGUGUGGUGUUCAAAAUUAGGCCAGAUAGCUGCUCUUGUGUUGCUGUGGGUACAUUAAUCCAGUGUCUCUGGGAUAAGAAAAACAGCAUGGGGAGAGCUACAAGGACUUGAAGCAGGGCCAGGGCCGAGAUUUUGUUCUCUAUCGCCAUUGCAGGAGCCUCGAGGGAGCGCGGAUCCGAAUGGUGGCCGGUUGGUGGACCGAAGUUCUCAGAGCAGUUUUGACCCCCAGGUUCUAGCUCUGGUCCGGUUUUGUCUCUUUACAUUUAGGCUGUAGGCAGAGGAAAUCCUCGCCAGCGGGCCAGAAUUCCAGCCCACUUAAUAGUUGUUUAAGGCCAUAAACUAUUGUUUCUUUAGGAAUCUCACCAGAAACCCAGUUUACAGGUAAAGGACAUGUACUAAACCCUUUGUGCAACCUUUGUGGCGCCUGGUUUUACUUUAUCUCAUUGUAAUUCCAACCUACAAACCACCUUAUACAUUCACUUAACAAUGAGAGGAGUGGAGUGGUUCUUAGCAACCUUUUGCGAUGUAACUUAACCACUAAAGAGGUAUCUAGCUAACAUGGCAGCUCUCGAGGAGUCCGUAUUGACACGCUGGUAUGUAUUGUUUUUGUUUUCCUAAGCGUCUUCUAUGCCUAGAGUUACCUAUGUUAAAGAUAUCUUUAGUAAAAUCUCCAGCUCUUCAGUGUGGUUAGUCCUGAGAUUCUUUUUAAUCCUUUAAGCCAGGAAUUCUGGUUUGGCCUGAGUCAAAGCCCCUAAAAAAUUAGGAGAACUCAGCCUGCUGAAGCUAACAGUGUAGGGCUAUUUCCUUCCCUUACUGCUCAUGCUCUGUUGCCUGGGCCUCUGUGAAAGGAUAGGGUCUGGAGUAAUCUUGACUCCUUGUUCCUGAGGAUUUUUUGAGUGGCUGCUCUUUUCAAACCACCUAAGGAUUCACAGGCCCUCGUCAGUCUGAGCUGCCAGUUCAGUUUCAGUCAAAGUUAAGUUUUUGUAAACUGGUCCCACUUUCGGCACUCUGGAGUCCCGUGAAAAAAAUGAAAGGUGUUCAGAGUUCCUCUCUCCUUCCCCCAGAGUGUGUGACUUUUAGGUGGGAGGGAGUGUCUGGGAUAAAGGAGUACUGGCUGUACCUAGUCUUAGACCCAGGCAUGUGGUGUGAAAGUUGUGUUUAUCUUUAAAACACUCUCAAGCCAUAUGUCAGCCACCGUUCCAGGCUAGGAGAGGACAGAUUGAUAAACAGCAUUUGUGGUCUCCAAAAAUAUAUGGCUCCAGUACAUUAAGAGUAGACUGAAGUAGGAUGAGGUGACAUAAGGCUUUGGAAGUGGAGGUAGGAGGAUUAUUAGUUCAAGGCUGUCCUCAGCUAUAUAGUUCCUGGCCAGCCUGGGCUACAUGAGAUCUCAAGGGGGAAAAAAAAGAAUGGAGUCGGGUAUAGGCUUAUAGUUCUAGUUGUAGGGAGGCUGAGGUAGGAGGAUCUCAGUUUCAAGGCAUAAUGAGUCCAGGCAAUUCUGAGGUUUAUAGUGAGAUCCUGUCUCAAAAAGAGAGAACAGAGUUGUAGGAAUGAAGUCAGAGCUCAUUGUCAGAGGCCAGGCCAAUCCUUCAGAAGACCAAGUUCAAUCUCCAGCACUGACAAAAAGCAAAUGGGCACUAGUCCCGCAAUUACCCGAUUUCUGAUGUCCUAGCUCUGUUAGCAUUGCCGGGUUCUUUUUUUUUUUUUCUUUUUUCUUUUUUUUUUUUCCGGAGCUGGGGACUGAACCCAGGGCCUUGCGCUUGCUAGGCAAGCGCUCUACCACUGAGCUAAAUCCCAAACCCCACAUUGCCGGGUUCUUAAAGCACACUCAGUCUGUUAUCUGAAAAGUAGGGAAAACAAUACCUUAUGCAGCUGAGAGUCAAAACAACAUAAAUGUCUACAGAGGUCCUGAAGCAUAGAAAGUGCUCAAGAAAUAUAAAUUAGUAUUAAUUAUAGUCGUGGAGGGGAUGAGCAGGGAACUGUAAAUAGCGUCUUAAUAGAAGCAUGAGCAGUGGGGGUGGGGAGAAAUGUAUGGUGGAAGGAUUCAGACGUGUGGUUUGAUUUGAGUUGGGUCUUUAAACACAAGUUUAUCAGGAGAAGGGGAGAGGCAUUACAAGCACAGAAAGCCUAAUGAGUGUCCAGGAACCUGAAUGUGGGGAACUAUUCGGAAACAUUCUUGCUUGGGGAAUUGGGACACCUUUCGUAGUUCAUGUGCUGCCUGAAAUAAACCCACAAAUGUGCUUGGCUCUGUAAAAAAAAAAAAAAAGAAAGAAAAACAGCAUGGGGGCCCUGCGAGAAUGUAACAUGAUAUUCUGUUUUAAGAAACACUUAGUCUGUUUUAUUGUUUUGAAGUUAUAUACAAUUAUAUUUCCCCACUCUCUUUUCUCUCUCCCAACCCUCCUUCCAGAUGCAUGGUCUCUUUUUUUUCUUCACUGUUACUGCAUAAAUAUAUAUAUAUAUAUAUAUAUAUAUAUAUAUAUAUAUAUCACACACACACACACACACGUCUUCAGGGCUGACCUUUGUUGGCACUGAACACACAAUCAGUGUGCCACUUCUCCCCUUUCCAGUUUUCCUUAGCUGCCUAUAGCUCUUGGAAUAUGGUUGCAGCCUCUGAAACUUUCUCCAUACAAUUCUUAUAUAAAUGCACAAAUAAUAAGAUGAAUUUUGAGGAUGGUGGCCACUCUCACAUGGGUCAGUGGCAAAGCAUCAUCAGUCUCUGCAAGCCAGUAGCUCUUUUUGCUGUGCACGCUGAUAGAGAACACUGGCCUACAGAAGACAAGGCAUAUUAUGGAAACACUGGGGGGAAAGCGACAUAAGUAUGUGGUCCUCAAACAAUCCUAGGAAGCAUGCACUAACCCUGCUGGGCCUUCAGGGUGGGAACUCAGCUUCAAGGAUAAUGAAGAGUGCCAGGAGCCAGCUCAGGGUAUGGCUAUCUCAAGAUCUCAAGUCAUCUUGGAAACAAAACCGGGAAAGUCUGUUCCACACACACAUUGACUUGGAUCCCAGGCCCUUCUUAUAUCUCAGCCAUAGCAACAGACGUCAACACGGUCCAUAGCAAUGGAGGGACACCACAUCGACAUUGUUAAUAAUCAUAUGCCAAAGAGGCUGGUUCCAAUUGAAAUUAUUUAAGGACGUUACCAGAGGAAGGAGGUUUUUUAGAUUGCAUUACUGGAUCACUGAGCAAAGAUAACUUCUGGGAACUCCAAUAACCUUCCUCAAAUUUGCCUUCCUCGACAAUGCAAUUAAGCAAUGGGCAAAGUACUGUCAAUUUAUAUAGUAUUGUUAUGUACUGAGACAGACAUAUAGUGAUAUCUAAUGUAUAAAAUGCAACAUGCAUCCUUUCUGGAGAGAAAUAUGAUAGGUAUCGAUUAUGAAACUCUUCUCGAAAUAAGGUGGUGGCACAUGCCUUUAAUCCAAGCACCUAGGAGGCAGAGGCAGGAGGAUCUUAAAGUUUGAGAAUAGCCAGGGGGCUACACAGAGAAAUCCUAUCUCAAAAAGGCAAAACCAAACAAACAACCUGAAAACCUAAGCCUCAAACAAACAAACAAAAAACAAAACAAA